AGCGAACGCUGGCGGCAGGCCUAACACAUGCAAGUCGAACGAACCUUUCGGGGUUAGUGGCGGACGGGUGAGUAACACGUGGGAACGUGCCUUUAGGUUCGGAAUAACUCAGGGACACUUGUGCUAAUACCGAAUGUGCCCUUCGGGGGAAAGAUUAAUCGCCCUUAGAGCGGCCCGCGUCUGAUUAGCUAGUUGGUUGAGGUAAUGGCUCACCAAGGCGACGAUCAGUAGCUGGUCUGAGAGGAUGAUCAGCCACAUUGGGACUGAGACACGGCCCAAACUCCUACGGGAGGCAGCAGUGGGGAAUCUUGCGCAAUGGGCGAAAGCCUGACGCAGCCAUGCCGCGUGAAUGAUGAAGGUCUUAGGAUUGUAAAAUUCUUUAACCGGGGACGAUAAUGACGGUACCCGGAGAAGAAGCCCCGGCUAACUUCGUG
This 434-nucleotide ribosomal RNA is filed under the name uncultured bacterium. Its description in RNAcentral is "partial 16S ribosomal RNA". It matches the Rfam family "Bacterial small subunit ribosomal RNA", at positions 29 to 507 of the family's 1533-position model. The record is from RNAcentral.